GCAGUUUCGGGCUGUGAGAGCCGAAGCUCACUGAGAUGUGACGCUUCCUGUUGGGUUGAGAACGCACGAAGUCUACGAUGCUUAGACAAAAAAAUCUCAGAAACUAAGAAAUCAUUCGAAUCCAGUUCCUUGUUUAUUCACAAUUAAAACCUUAGUGAUAAAACAGAGGCGACGCGCGGACAGCUCCUGGAAGCAGAAACACGAUUGGGGUAAAAUCCGGCAGCUAUCAGGACGGGAAGGGAUGCUGCCCUUCUUUGCUUUUCUGGUCUUAUUUUAUUUUAUUUUAUUUUUAUUUUGUCGCGUGUGCUUUCGGUGUCGCAGUGAAGUCAUAGCCAAAUACAAUGUUAGGAAGAUUUUCCUCUAUGUUUUCUCCUAAGAGUUUUAUAAUUUAAACUCUUAGACCUUUAAUCCAUUUUGAGUUAAUUUUCAUAUGUGGUAUGAGUCCACAUUUACUCUUUUUCAUGUGGAUAUCCAGUUUUCUUAGUACCAUUUGUUGAAAAGACAUUCUGUGCCCGUUUUUAAGACAUUGACCUGAGGUUCGGAGAUUGUAAAUCAUUUGCCAAGAAAGGCCAUGCAGUUUGGGAGCAGCAGUGCCUGGGGCUACAGAAGACCCUUGCUUCUGGGACACCCUCUAAUGUCAUGCUUUGCAAGGUUUUGCUCUGUCCCUCUUUGAGCACCUGCUAGAAGCAGGUAAAAGAACUGGUAGUUUUGCUGUUUUAACUUAAAAAAAGAAUGAUUUUAGACUUACAGAAAAGUUGCAAAGGUAAUAAAGGGAGUUCCCACAUACCCAUCACCCAUAUUGCCUUAUGUUAACAGCUUAUAUAACCAAUGAAACUAAAAACUUAACAGUGAUACGAAACUAUUAACUGUGUUACUGAUUUUAUUUUAAUUUCACCAACUGUUCCACUAAUGUCCGUUUUCUAUUCCAGGACCCAAUUCAGGAUACCAUAUUGCAGUUAGUUUUCCUGUGUUCUUAGCCUCCUCUAAUCUGUGACAGUUUCUCAGUCAGUUGUCUUCAAAAACCUUGACACUUUUGAACAGUACUGGUUUCUGUAUACUAUCCCUCAGUUUGGGUUUGUCUGAUGUUUUCUCAUGAUUGGACUGAAGCUGUGGAUGUUUAGGAAGAAUGCUACAGAGAUUAUGUGCCUUUCUCAUUGCCUGGUAUCUGUGGGUACACGGUAUCAACAUGACCUAUCACUGAUCACUGGGGAACUGAUCAUUUGUUGUUUCUUGUCUUUUAAACCUAAGCCACUGCAAUAGUUUCUGAAAUUCCUGUUCUGGGGAUGCUACCAGAUUUCUGCUUCAAUAUCAUUUCCAUGCCAUUUGUUUUCAUAUACAUCUAAAAUGGCCUUUGAUUGUUUAUUGCACCAAGUUCAAGCUUCGCAAACUGGCAUUUUGAAGUCUCAUUUUAUCCAGCCAACUUUACCUUCCACUGUUCCUCACACAUUCCCUUUGUCCUCAUUUCUUCUCUCCAAACCACCAUUUCCAGUCUGUCCUUAGGCCAAGGCCCGGGGUUCCUUUAAUUUCUUGUUCAAGUCAACAUGAAGUUCCUUUGACUUCUUCACACAGCAGUGAGUUUUUCUCUUUUCUAAAUUUCUGGUCAGUUCCUACAAUCUCACUUUAAUGUGGUUUUACUUUUUUUCUCCAGGUGUUUAAUGUGUGUUUUUGGUCUUCUCCCCAAGCAAUGGAAACAGAGUUGCUGCUUCAGUGGUAGUAGUACUUGCAAUUCAAGUAACACUAACUUAAAAUCUACUUUAGACACAGUGGGCGAUAGUAUGAAAGAACCAAGAAGGAUUUCGGCUGUCCUGGAGCUGAUAAUGCUGCAAACAAGGUCUAAGAUUCAUACAAAUUCCGGAAGAUUGAAUGAAAAUCCUGCCUCCGUCUGGGAGUAUUAUUUAUUUGCAUAGCAUAGACAGGCCUCACACCCGAUUUCCUGAAGCACUGCCAGCCAGCUUGACUCACCGCCCCCACAGUGAUGCCCGAUUCUUCCAUCAAGGCUGGAACACAGGAGCAAAUAGCUUGAACAUACAAGGAUUAUAUUGUUCCUUCUCUUAAAGUUACCUCUGUCAUGCGCGUCCGUGUGAAGAUACCACCAAACAGGCUUUGUAUCUUCAGUUGCUUCAGGCCAUCUGGAUGUAUACGUCAGGUCACAGGGGAUAUGAUGGCUUAGCUUGGGCUCAGAGGCCUGACAACCUCCAGAUUCAGAGUUCUUAACCUCUUUUUCCUGGGAAGUUUGCUGAGGAGCCAGAUGCCUUGUGCUGACUUGUCUAUUUUGAAAGAGGCUGCAGAAACACUCGAUUCCACCUCAACCCGGAAUUCAGCUUUCUUAGGAAAGGAAAUAACCCCCGAAGCCUUUGCAACUAAGGACAUGUAUCCUUCAGACAAGUGUUUACUGGGCAACUUCUUCGUGCUGUAAUUGAGUGUGGCCGAUUGCUCACAAAGAUGUUUGCAAAAUCCCUCCUGUCCCCUAACUCACUUCUCCUUGCAGUGUCACUCUGCCAACUUCUCCUGUCGAUUGGUGAAGACUGUUUCUCCUCCCCCUUGAAUAUGGGCUGGGCUUGUAACUUGCUUGACCAAUAGAAUGCAGAGAAAUGAAAUGCAGCCUUCAACAUUCAAGGCUAUGCUCAAGGAGUCUAACCCUGUGGAUAUGCUGUUGUCAAAUGAGGGAGCUUCGAUUAGCCUGUUGAAGACACACAGACGACCCGACAGGCAAUACCAACAUUCAGAUAUGCAAGUUAUGCUGUCUUAGACCAUGCUGCCCAGGUGAACUUUUAGACGACUGCAAUUUGUGAGUGACUCUAGGCAAGACCAGAAGAAACUUCUAGCUAAAUCUAAACCAAAUGCCAACUCAGAAUUGUAAGCAAAUAAAACGGUUGUUGUUUAAAGACACUAACUUUUGGGGUGUUUUGCCACACCUCAAUACAUAACUGUUACACUAAUUAUUUUUCAUUGUGAAAUCUUCAGCGUCUUAUUCUGUAAUCAAACCAGAAUGUCCUUGCCUUCUUAGCACUUUGCCACAGUCCAGUGGGGUGAAUAGACAGCAGCUGCUCAUUUAUGCUCAUGCUCAUGUUCAUAAUUUGCAUUUGGACUAAAAGGAGCUCUGUUCUCCAGGACAGAACUAUUCUAAAGCUCUUCAGGAACAGGAACAGGAGUCCAUCACAGACAGCGAAAUCAAAAGCGCCCUACAUAGAGGCAUCCAGACUGAGAGCUGAAAGGGAUCUGGGAAAUCAUUUAGUCUCACUCCCUCAUUUUCCAUUCAGACCACAGGGAUGAAAGAACUUGCUGAAGUUCUCACAGCUCUGUAGUGGCACAGUCAGAACAAGGAUCCCAAUCUCCUAACUACUAACAUAAAAUGCUUUCAGCAUGCAAGUUGAGCAUACAAUGGGACAGUUUAAAUUUAAAUGGUGUUUUGAGCAAGGGGAGAGUCUAAUUAAUUACUUCAAAGUAUAAUUUUGGAGUCACCAGAAAGGCGUUAAAGACAAAAAAAUGCUUUGGAACCUAGGUGCUUCAUAUCUGAAAUUGGGGCAGGUACAGGUGUAUUCCUACCACUAAAGGGUCAUUAGUUGGUUGGGUAGUCCUUUAGUGUUCUUGGUACUAAGCACAAAACAUGGGUAAGAUGGUUCAAGGCUGGUUGUGGUGGCUCAUGCCUAUAGCCCCAGCAUUUUAGGAGGCCAAGGCUGGAGGAUAGCUUGAGCCCAGGAAUUCGAGACAAGCCUGGGCAAUAUCGCAAGACCUUGUCUCUACAAAUAAUAAUUUCUUAAGAAUUGGCUGGGCAUGGUGGCACACACCUGUAGGCUAUUUGAGAGGUUGAGGUGGGAGGAUUGCUUUAGUGUGGGAGGCUGAGGCUGCAAUGAGGUGAUCACACUAUGGUACUACAGCCUGAGAAACAGUGUAAGAUCCUGCCUCAAAAAAAAAAAGUUUAUGUUCUCAAAGUGCUCAUAAUCUAGUGGUAGUACAGUAUUUGAGAUAUUAGAGCAGUUUCUCCUCCUUUUGCAACUAAGGACAUGUAUCUUUAAAGCAGAAGGAAUGGCAGAGUCGUGUAAUAAACCCUCAAGUACCAUUACUUAGCUUCAACAACUAUCGACACUCUACUGUUCUUGUUUCAUUUAUGCCUCACCUCCUUCCCAUCCCCCACUUGAAUAUUCUCAUCCUUUUUUUUUACAGUUUUUAAGAUAACAAUUACAUAACUGAAAUGCACAAAUCUUAGCUGUACAGUUUUGACAUAUGGAUACACCUGUGUAACCAAUGACUGUAUCACAACAUAGAGCAUUUCAUCUCCCCAGCAAGAUCCAUGUGUCUUUUCCUAGUUAAUGCCUCUUUAUUUCUGAGAUGGUUAUUGCUCUGCUUUUGUUUUUCAUGUUAGGCUAGUCUUGCCUGUUCUAGAAUUUCAUAUAACUGAGAACAUACAGAAUGUACUCACUAGUAGUGUCUGACUUUUUCACAAAGGAUAAUGUCUGUGGUAUUCAUUCAUGCUGUUGUAUGCAUCAGUAGUUUAUUUUCUUUUUACUAUUAAGUAGUGUUCUAAGGACUAUUUUAAUAGCAUCCCACAAAGGGGGUAUGAUAUGUUCUAUUUACAUUAUUAUUUGGUUUGUAAUAUUUUAUAUUUUCUCUUGUGAUUUCUCCUUUCACUCAUGAAUUAUUAUAAUAAAUUUUUUAAAGUGUAUUAUAAUAUAUUUAGUGAAACUGUAUUAUUUGAUUUACUAAUGUCUGGUGCUUUUGUAUCUGGUG
This 4728-nucleotide long non-coding RNA is filed under the name Homo sapiens (human). RNAcentral describes it as "non-protein coding LINC02535:17". The record is from RNAcentral. Lineage: Eukaryota; Metazoa; Chordata; Mammalia; Primates; Hominidae.